Long non-coding RNA from Heterocephalus glaber (naked mole-rat), 2044 nucleotides. RefSeq lists it as uncharacterized. Lineage: Eukaryota; Metazoa; Chordata; Mammalia; Rodentia; Bathyergidae. The record is from RefSeq and is a predicted model, not a curated record.
UAUAGGCAUGUACUACCUCGCCUGGUGCACAUUAUCUUAUUCUUUGGUUGAGAGAUGUUUUUAAACUAGGAAAACAGCCUCUCUGAGUCAUGUAAGGGAAGGUGGUGAGGGAGAAUUUAGAUUCUGGGGAAGAGUGGUGGGGAAAAGCUUGGGAAGGUCAAUUUGGAUGCCGGGAGUGAGAAUUUGUAGGCUCUCCCGUUAAUUAGCUUUUGUCUUCUCAGUCAAGAUGUUUCCUGAGACAGCAAUGGGAAAUUGACUUUGGGAAUUUUAAUUUUACUGGACAAAAUUCUUGGCCCCUGAAGUCCUGUUUCUGGACGCCAGCACUAUUGACAUUUUGACCAGAUAAUUAAUUGGGAUGAGGGGCAAUCGUGUGCACUGGAGGAUAUUUAACAGCAUCUCUGGCCUCUACCUGUAGGAGCUCCCUCUCCUGUGCCCCCAGCAGUGCCCACCAAAGUGUCUCCAGGCCUGGUCAACUGUCCCCUGAGGAGCUAAAUCACCUCAUGCUGAGAACCAUUGAUCUAGAGCAAUAGACGCCAUCCUGGCAAUCCAGAAGGUCCCUGGCCGUUACCUUUGAACAGCGAGAACGUGACCUUCCCAUGUUGCUCUGCCGUAGAGGGAGCUAAGCUCCUCCCCAGUGCUGCGCGCUACCGAAGUGGGUAAAGGCAGGCGUCGCUUCCUGGGCACACGGGUGGUUCUCUUAGGACACAAUCCAGCUUCGUGGUGGAAGGUUGUUUUGCUUUCUCUGUGGUUUCCGUGUGGGCUGCUGGAGGCAACAUGGUUGUUAUGACAGUCGGGGACACGGAAGCUCUUCUCACAGGGAUCGAACUCAAGGCAGGUGGCGGAACCACUGAGCUAAAUCCCUGGCCCUGAUGACAGUGAUUUGAAGUGGCACCAGUGUCCUGCUGGAAUAGUGCUGGCCACAUAUUCUGCGGUCCACCUCAUGGUUCCAGGACCUUGUGGAAGUCAUGAAGCAUGAGUAGUAAUCGUGAGCAAGGGAGUCCCCUCCCCGCAGUAUUGGGAAUUCAACCCACGGCAUUGCACAUGCUGGGUACGCACUCUACCAAUGAGCCACAUCCUCAGUCCCUGGGUCUUCUCCUUUCUAUCCAAGGAUAAGCAGAUGGGGCAAGCAUGAGGCUGGGAGGAGGGAGGAAGGGUAUGUUUUGAACCUGGCUACAUAAUGAGGCAUACAGUUGACUGAACUGUGUCUAAGCAUUUGGAGUGGUGGGGGUGGGGAAUUAGGAGCUUCCCUCUUACCCUUUAGGCAGUCUUCCCCCAUCCCAGAAGUGGCAUCUUCCAUGUUAGAGAAUAUUGUAAAACUCAUUCUUAAAUAGCUAAGAAAGAAAACCAACAGCAUACGAGUACUUGUUAGAACUUUAUCACAAAAGGAAUCACACCCUUUAAGUUAGGUCACCCACUACCACCACAGACAAAAACCAUUUCCCUUUUCUGUUAUUGCUCAGGUUUCAAAACAUUUUUCUUUUUAUUUUGCAAAACAAUGUCAGAGAAACAAGUGAGUAUUUCCGGGUCCAUCUGAGGUCAGCAGGAUCCCCAAGUAAGAGGUGCUUCAUCCAAUUCCUGGUGAAAAAUCGACUCCUGGUGGAACUGUUAAUUUGCAAACUCUGGAAAGAGGAAAGUUUAAAUUUUUCCAGCUGCCAAACUUGGGACUUCAUGAUGAAUCAUCAGGACAGACUUUCUAGGCCAAGUGUGAACCCUGCUCCGGGCCACCAGUCUGAGGCCAGAGGAACGUGACAAGUUUAUUUAGAUGCCUUGCCAGAGUUCUGAUGCCUGGGCCUGGGAUCUUCAGUGAAGGAGAAAGCUUACUCACUUGAAAGGCUUGGAUUACUGAGCAGCUCCAAAGAGCCACUGCAGGAGGGAUUUUCUCCUUGCUGAAGUCUUUCUUAGCAUCUAAGAUACUAAGCAAAAAGGAAAGAAAAGAUGAAAGAGAAGGCCCUCUUUAAAAAUAUAGUUAAGCCAACCCAUUAAAGAGAAAACCAGAGAUUUCUAAACUAAUAAAUAAGCUCAUUACUUCAUUGGGGAAUUACAA